RNAcentral lists this ribosomal RNA (263 nucleotides) under uncultured bacterium. Its description in RNAcentral is "partial 16S ribosomal RNA". It matches the Rfam family "Bacterial small subunit ribosomal RNA", at positions 29 to 289 of the family's 1533-position model. The record is from RNAcentral.
AUUAACGCUAGCGGCAGGCAUAAUACAUGCAAGUUGAACGGCAGCACAGGUAGCAAUACCGGGUGGCGAGUGGCGCACGGGUGCGUAACACGUAUGCAACCUACCCUAUACAGGCGAAUAACCUUUAGAAAUGAGGGCUAAUACGCCGUGGUAUUAUCUUGGGGCAUCUUGAGAUAAUUAAAGAUUUAUCGGUAUAGGAUGGGCAUGCGUCCCAUUAGUUAGUUGGUAGGGUAACGGCCUACCAAGGCUAUGAUGGGUAGGGG